RNAcentral lists this non-coding RNA (29 nucleotides) under Rattus norvegicus (Norway rat). The record is from RNAcentral. Lineage: Eukaryota; Metazoa; Chordata; Mammalia; Rodentia; Muridae.
UACCAGGCAACAUGAAUGUUUUCGUGGAA